RNAcentral lists this ribosomal RNA (455 nucleotides) under Veillonella atypica. RNAcentral describes it as "bacterial SSU rRNA". It matches the Rfam family "Bacterial small subunit ribosomal RNA", at positions 28 to 460 of the family's 1533-position model. Lineage: Bacteria; Bacillati; Bacillota; Negativicutes; Veillonellales; Veillonellaceae. The record is from RNAcentral.
GACGAACGCUGGCGGCGUGCUUAACACAUGCAAGUCGAACGAAGAGCGAUGGAAGCUUGCUUCUAUCAAUCUUAGUGGCGAACGGGUGAGUAACGCGUAAUCAACCUGCCCUUCAGAGGGGGACAACAGUUGGAAACGACUGCUAAUACCGCAUACGAUCCAAUCUCGGCAUCGAGACUGGAUGAAAGGUGGCCUCUAUUUAUAAGCUAUCACUGAAGGAGGGGAUUGCGUCUGAUUAGCUAGUUGGAGGGGUAACGGCCCACCAAGGCGAUGAUCAGUAGCCGGUCUGAGAGGAUGAACGGCCACAUUGGGACUGAGACACGGCCCAGACUCCUACGGGAGGCAGCAGUGGGGAAUCUUCCGCAAUGGACGAAAGUCUGACGGAGCAACGCCGCGUGAGUGAUGACGGCCUUCGGGUUGUAAAGCUCUGUUAAUCGAGACGAAUGGUUCUUGUG